UCUUAUGUUUUAGUGGACGAGGUAACCGGGCAGAAGAGGAGGAGGUAACAAGGAGAAGGCGACGAGAGGUACGGGGAUCCGUCGCGAGGGUAAGUACCGGCCGCUGGGCAGAAGAGGAGGCGACGAGAGGUACGGGAUCUGCCGCGAGGGUAAGUACCGGCCACUCGUCUUCGAAGUCGGAGGCAGCGCGGGGUUCUACCAACUACGUAGUAUACUCCUCCACAUCAUACGUACUACCAAAGUUCUUUCCUCCGGAGCUAACCAUGAACUCUGGCAGUUCAACUCGUUAAUGUAACCAGACCACCGUGGCGUUCAAUGUUAGCUUCGGGAUGAGCUCCGUCAGAGGGCAAUAAGUACGGGGUGAGGUGACCAUUGUACCUCAGAAGAGUAAACAUUACCGUAUCUAUAUCCUUGCUCGUUAAGUCGAAACGAUAUUCUUUCGCUGCCUGUUUUCUCUUGUCCUAUAACAACAACUCUCGAUCGAGACCAGUGUACUAGUAGAUAGAUAUAUCAAAAGUUGUUUUCUCUUGACCUAAUAAAAAUGACUCCCGAUCGAGACCGGCGUACCAGUAGGUACAUAUAUCAAAAGUUGUUAUUUGCACAGUACUAACCAUGUAGUAUUAAUCGUUAGAAUCAAAGAAGACUAGAGUAUUAAACUUCUACUUGGCUUCUCCCCUUACACAUUAUACAAAGCUUAGACAGUGUGAUUUACACAUAAACACCAUAACUACAUGUCAAUAAUUCUUUCAAUGUAAAAGGUCGAUAACACGAUG
RNAcentral lists this ribosomal RNA (773 nucleotides) under Triticum aestivum (bread wheat). RNAcentral's name for it is "partial small subunit ribosomal RNA". The record is from RNAcentral. Lineage: Eukaryota; Viridiplantae; Streptophyta; Magnoliopsida; Poales; Poaceae.